This 240-nucleotide long non-coding RNA is filed under the name Lathyrus oleraceus (garden pea). RNAcentral describes it as "Pisum sativum (pea) long non-coding RNA (PSAT_LNC001291)". The record is from RNAcentral. Lineage: Eukaryota; Viridiplantae; Streptophyta; Magnoliopsida; Fabales; Fabaceae.
AUAUGGAUAACUUGAUCAAAAUGUUGACCAAGGAUAAUGAUGUUGAGGAUGAAUACAAAAUUGAUAGUGAAGAAGAAGAAGGAGAACAAUCAACUAAUGAUGAAGAAGCUGACAACUUAGAAUCCUCAAGUGCAGAAGAAGAAUCUAACUCUGAAGACGGUAUCAUAAAGCUGAAGAUAUUUUGAUGUUUUAGCCUUUUGUUUUUAGGCUUAUAUUUUUGGUUAUGUAAUAACCUUAUCC